UAUAGUUCUUCGGAACUAGAGACCGGCGCACGGGUGCGUAACGCGUAUGCAAUCUACCUUUUACAGAGGGAUAGCCCAGAGAAAUUUGGAUUAAUACCUCAUAGUAUAUAGACCUGGCAUCAGGAUUAUAUUAAAGUCACAACGGUAAAAGAUGAGCAUGCGUCCCAUUAGCUAGUUGGUAAGGUAACGGCUUACCAAGGCUACGAUGGGUAGGGGUCCUGAGAGGGAGAUCCCCCACACUGGUACUGAGACACGGACCAGACUCCUACGGGAGGCAGCAGUGAGGAAUAUUGGACAAUGGGCGCAAGCCUGAUCCAGCCAUGCCGCGUGCAGGAUGACGGUCCUAUGGAUUGUAAACUGCUUUUAUACGAGAAGAAACACUACUUCGUGAAGUAGCUUGACGGUAUCGUAAGAAUAAGGAUCGGCUAACUCCGUGCCAGCAGCCGCGGUAAUACGGAGGAUCCAAGCGUUAUCCGGAAUCAUUGGGUUUAAAGGGUCCGUAGGCGGUUUAAUAAGUCAGUGGUGAAAGCCCAUCGCUCAACGGUGGAACGGCCAUUGAUACUGUUAGACUUGAAUUAUUAGGAAGUAACUAGAAUAUGUAGUGUAGCGGUGAAAUGCUUAGAGAUUACAUGGAAUACCAAUUGCGAAGGCAGGUUACUACUAAUGGAUUGACGCUGAUGGACGAAAGCGUGGGUAGCGAACAGGAUUAGAUACCCUGGUAGUCCACGCCGUAAACGAUGGAUACUAGCUGUUGGGAGCAAUCUCAGUGGC
RNAcentral lists this ribosomal RNA (771 nucleotides) under Flavobacterium piscis. Its description in RNAcentral is "bacterial SSU rRNA". It matches the Rfam family "Bacterial small subunit ribosomal RNA", at positions 70 to 847 of the family's 1533-position model. The record is from RNAcentral. Lineage: Bacteria; Pseudomonadati; Bacteroidota; Flavobacteriia; Flavobacteriales; Flavobacteriaceae.